CAUGUGCUGAAUGUUUGCAAACUUUCUUCCACAAAGCAAUAUUUGUACAAUAUCCAAAGGGGCUAUUCUGAACAUUUCGUCUGGCAGUGGCAUGCUCCCUGUCCCACUGUUGACCAUCUAUUCUGCAACCAAGACUUUUGUAGAUUUCUUCUCUCGGUGCCUCCAUGAGGAGUAUAGGAGCAAGGGCGUCUUUGUGCAGAGUGUCCUGCCAUACUUUGUAGCUACAAAACUGGCUAAAAUCCGGAAGCCAACUUUGGAUAAGCCCUCUCCGGAGACGUUUGUGAAGUCUGCAAUUAAAACAGUCGGCCUGCAAUCCCGAACCAAUGGAUACCUGAUCCAUGCUCUUAUGGGCUCAAUAAUCUCAAACCUGCCUUCUUGGAUUUAUUUCAAAAUAGUCAUGAAUAUGAACAAGUCUACACGGGCUCACCAUCUGAAGAAAACCAAGAAGAACUAAGCAUUGAUAACUGCAUUGUAACUUGGCCAGAUGCUCCAGCAUAUGCACGUUCACUGC
This 511-nucleotide small RNA is filed under the name Pongo abelii (Sumatran orangutan). RNAcentral describes it as "processed transcript". Lineage: Eukaryota; Metazoa; Chordata; Mammalia; Primates; Hominidae. The record is from RNAcentral.